GAUGAAGAACGUAGCGAAAUGCGAUAAGUAAUGUGAAUUGCAGAAUUCAGUGAAUCAUCGAAUCUUUGAACGCACAUUGCGCCCGCCAGUAUUCUGGCGGGCAUGCCUGUUCGAGCGUCAUUUCAACCAUCAAGCCCCAGGCUUGUGUUGGGGACCUGCGGCUGCCGCAGGCCCUGAAAACCAGUGGCGGGCUCGCUGUCAUACCGGGCGUAGUAGAUUUUAUCUCGCUCAGGGCGUGCUGCGGGUUCCGGCCGUUAAAAAGCCUUUUUUACCCAAGGUUGACCUCGGAUCAGGUAGGAAGACCCGCUGAACUUAAGCAUAUCAAUAAGCGGAGGA
This 336-nucleotide unclassified non-coding RNA is filed under the name soil metagenome. RNAcentral's name for it is "partial contains 5.8S ribosomal RNA, internal transcribed spacer 2, and large subunit ribosomal RNA". The stretch from base 1 to 120 matches the Rfam family "5.8S ribosomal RNA", at positions 35 to 154 of the family's 154-position model. The record is from RNAcentral.